AAAGUCGUAACAAGGUAACCGUAGGUGAACCUGCGGUUGGAUCAUUAAAAAAAAAGGGAUGGAACUGUAGAUAGAUUUAGCUUAGGUCGUUCGUUCGUUCUCCCUGAGACCCUUCGGGCUCUCAGGGCGUGAAAUUGCGUGGCAGCUGUGAACCUGUUCUUGGCUGCCACCCUUUUCCCCACCCAUUCUAUACUGUUAAUUUCUGACAUGCUCGUACCUGUUGGUACACGAAUGCAAACAACUUUUGGCAACGGAUCUCUUGGCUCUC
RNAcentral lists this unclassified non-coding RNA (268 nucleotides) under Chytridiomycota sp. RNAcentral describes it as "partial contains small subunit ribosomal RNA, internal transcribed spacer 1, and 5.8S ribosomal RNA". The stretch from base 1 to 47 matches the Rfam family "Eukaryotic small subunit ribosomal RNA", at positions 1785 to 1831 of the family's 1831-position model. Lineage: Eukaryota; Fungi; Chytridiomycota. The record is from RNAcentral.